Phacochoerus africanus (Common warthog) is the source of this 2571-nucleotide RNA transcript. It is a transcript of the gene named exonuclease 5, with no coding region annotated. The transcript is spliced from 2 exons. The record is from RefSeq and is a predicted model, not a curated record. NCBI's taxonomy places the organism in Eukaryota, Metazoa, Chordata, Mammalia, Artiodactyla, Suidae.
UCCUGGAGGCUUAAUGCGAAGUGGGCAACGAAAGGUCUUCGGGGGGACUUACACUUGCGCGUCCCGCGGAAGCGUCCGGGAGCGAUGCCAAAGCUGCGUUGGGAACGGUGGAGUCCGGGGUUCGGAGGAGCAUCUAAGGGUAAAGGAAGCCCGGCAGAUGGGGUGGAGGGAUGAGGGGUUGCGUUUUGGCGCCCAGGGAUCUGUCCCCGCGGUUGCCGGGUGGGAGAGGCUCCGGCGCAGCCGCUUAUCUCGUCUGCUCCUGUGGGUUCAAGACCUUCCGCGCGCCGAAGACCCUGCUGUCGGCUAGGAUCCCUUCCGGAGGCCAGCGACCCCUUGCUUGCUCCUUGUAGGGAGUGCCCAGUAGACUUUCGGGCAUGCAUGGAACUCCUGGGGGGACGGUGGUUUGGGGCCGGUGGGAAGGUCCCCGCUGAAGGCAGAAGUACUCGGAGCCCGCAAGUCCGGGCAGCACCGAACAAGUCAGGAUGUUGAAAGUGAAGGCAGUGGCAGUUCCGCAGGCGGCAGGAACCUAUCAGAGAGGAAAAGCCUCUAUCCUGAGAUCUGUGCCCGAACUUCUGGGUCGAGGUGAGGCUGAAAGAGGGAACUGACCUCGGAGCUCCUGGGGGACCUUUUUUAUUGCUGACACUUUUACUUGCAGGGAGCAGGGAUGGGAUCAAGUCACUGCAACGAGGGUACUGGGGGGAAACGAAGAAGUCACGGAGAAUUUGCCCUCGGAGAGAGGUGGGCCUUACCCAGGAUCUAGGGUGGGCAACAAUGUGCAGUGUGGAUCAGAGAGGAGGAAACGCCGCAAUGUGAGGGACGUCGUGAGAAAGGACCAAAAGUCCCUGUUCACCACAGCAAGGCCCAGAGUUGCUAAUCUGGAUUCUCCGAUUACAGACCUGAUCUUUGAGAGCUCCUUUCUCCACCGCCAGCCUUGUCAUUUCAGCAUUCUGCCUUUCCCUUUGAGGAGGAAGAUCAACCAAGUCCCAGGGUUAGGUGUGAAGUAAGAAGCAAGGCUUGAAAAGAGUGUCUUCACAAGAUAAUCUGCCUGUUUUCUUAAGAUUAAAAAUACUUGAGGAGUUCCUGCUGUGGCACAACAGGAUCCCGGCCUGGCACAGUGGUUUAAAGGAUCCAGCGAUCCAGCAUUGCCACAACUGUGGCUUGGGUCUGAUUCCUGGCCCAGGAGCUCCAUGUGUUGUGAGGUGGCCAAAAAAGGAAAAACAAAACAAAGAAAAACUUGAUAGAACAAUCAGACAUAAUGUAUGGCCUUUGUUGCCUGGUUUAAAGAAAAGCUCUCCAAGAUGUUUUUAGGGCAGUUGGGGAAAUUUGAAUAUGGACCAGAGUAUUAGGGAAUUAUUAAUUUUGUUGGAUGUGAUAAUAUUAUAGUUAAUGUAGGAGCCUUCUUUGGGAAUGUAUGCUGAAACAUUUAUAUUUGAAGCAUUGUGGUGUCUGAAAUUUACUUUAAAAUAAUGCAGCUAAAAAACCCAAAAAUGUGAAAGAAGCAACAUGUCAACAGUUGUUUAUCUAGAUUAUACUCAUUGUCCUUUCUGUUUGCUGUAUUCAUUAAAUUGUUACAAAAAGAGAGAGUAGUUGUCCCACCGUAGAGUAGUGAGAUAUUGGAUGUGAAGCGCUAAGUUCAGUGUCUAGACACAAUAACUGUGCAACAUAUAUCUUCACAAUUAGUUGUAGCAAAAUGCAGUGAUACUUUAAGAGUGUUCAUUUACAGAUACUUCCCAUCAUAAGCUGAUUUCUGGUAGAGGGAGGAAAUAAACUUAGUAGGAAACACCCACUUCUGUAAUGUUAGGAGGGAUUUAUAGUCAGUGAAGGUAAAGUGAAACCCACCAAGAGCUUUUUCUCCUUGCCAUUUUCUUCUUAUAUCUUGAAUACAAAAAGCAACUGAUUUCCGCAUGUUGCUAUGAAGGUCCUCUCUCACUACGUCAUGCUGUGACUUUGCAUAUGAGCAGAUCUAUUGGUAUUUAUCUAUCAUUAGUCUUUGAAUUUUGCUACACUGUGUUGCUGAGAACUGCGUUUAAAAGCAGUCAUUGUAGAGCUGAUUUUUCUCAAGGAAUAGUUUGGUUUUGAGAUUUAUUUUCCUAGUUAAGGACCUCCUAUCAAAGGAAUUGUAGAAGUGGUUCAGUGGUUCACUGGCAAACAUUGCUCCAACAUUUACAGUGAUCUCUUUUCACUUAAAAUAAUGAAAUAAUGUCCCAGGCCAAUAGAAUUUUCAGGGGAAAAAGGCAAAACUCAAAUCUCCUUUUAAAUGGAGAAAUUGGAGGCAAGGAAGGUGAUUUGCUUAAAGUCACAGACAGCAUGUUAAUGCCAGAUUCAGGAAUAAAACUACUUUGCACUUAAAAAAGUUUUGCAGGUGUUCAUAUAUGGAUGAUGCAAUGAGCCCUAUUAUUGUAAAUUGUUCAUCUGUUACAAAUCUGUAGCCAUACUAACUGCUCAUAAGUAAAUAAGCACUUUUAAAGGCUCUAUGUAAGUAAUUAGUUGAGAAUGUUUUUUUACUUUAUUGGAAUUUGAAAGUUCUUUUAAGAAAUUUUUUAUUUGGAUAAUGCAUUUCUUUAACAUGAU